RNAcentral lists this unclassified non-coding RNA (5220 nucleotides) under Hevea brasiliensis (rubber tree). Lineage: Eukaryota; Viridiplantae; Streptophyta; Magnoliopsida; Malpighiales; Euphorbiaceae. The record is from RNAcentral.
GACAGGAAAACAUUCUUGUUUUCUUUUUUUCAUUGCCAUAUGUAUUUAUGAAUACAUCAUGAAAAUGAAUGCUUCACGCAAGCUUCUCUUUGCUGCUUUCACUAGAUCUUCUUUGCCAUACAAUAUAAUGGAAGGCAAACAAAGUUGUAGUGAAAGGAGCAAAAAGAAGCUUGGGAAGUGGACUUCCCUACUUAUAAGGGGAAAAAAACAAAUAAAUAAAAGCAUUUAUUGACAACAAAAAGAUGAAGAUUUACUCUGUCUAUCUAGCUUUCUUCUCAUGCACAUCUACUUCUGUAGAGAAUGUACAGCUUUCAAAAGGUAUAAAAGCUUCAAAACUAUAUUCAGUUGCUGGGUUCUGCUGAUGUUAGCAGCUCAACUCUUCUGAAGCAACUGUGUUAGCUGUCCACUGGGAAGUCAAUAUGAGAGCUAUCCAUUAUGGUAUUCUUACAUGUUAUUUUCCACUCCUGAAGGCCGCAGCUGUACUUGUCUGGUCUUCUGAUCUGGUACACUACAGAUUACGGCUUUGUAAAUAUUUUUCUUGAUACCUUCUGGCCUUUUGAGGGGCAAUGAUCUCAAGAGCACCAUGGACGCACUUGCGAUAUGAGAAGUCCUCAUUUGUCCCGUCUGUUCUAACCAGAGAAAAGCAGCGAGAAUCUUGAUAUUCUGGAUGAUUUACAACCUUAAUAUCUUUGGCUCCAGAUCCAAUUUUCUCAUCUCGUCGAGGAUGAAAAUGUAAGGCCAUCAUCAAGGUACACUUGUCAGUCUCAUUUAAUUGGUGAUCUACAGGGUACUUAUUCAAGAUUUUGCUCAGUGCUUGGGAGAGUCUAUGAAUAUCAUUAUAUGUAAAUAACCUUCUCAAAGAUUCCAAUGUUCGUUUAGGGUCAUAAGGUGUCUUGUACACAAACUGGGCACUGUAUUUGUCAGAUUUAUAGCUCUGAGCAAAAGGCACUUCAAACUCAUUAUUCUGCUCGUCAGUACUCAUUUGGCUACCCAGAAGGUCAUAGACAUCCACAGGCUUUGAAAGCUUGUAUUCCUUCCCAGAGAAUACAAUAUCAAACUGUCCAGUCCCAAUAGAAGGAAUCUUUCCCCAUGACAAAGCAUCCAAGCUCCCUCGAAGAUCAUCCACAAUUUCUGCCUUGGCAGCUUUGAUAAAGCAAUUACCAGGACUGGAAAAGCAUGCUUGCACAAAUGGUGAAAGAACUGACGCAUGCUCUCUUUGCCGUUUCCAGCCUUUUGCAUUUAGGCCAACAAACUCUCCUGUAACUGAUAGACAAUUCGCAACAAGAAGCAAAUGUUCAGGAAGUACACUCUUGCCAACAUCAGAUAUUGCAGACGCCAAAUUAUUGAGGAAAAAUUUCCAUCCAGCAUCUAUGCCAUAUGCCAAACAGAAAUCACGUAUAUUAUCUGGAUGACUGCGUGUCCAAUCAAUCAUAUCCAUUAUUGGGAGACAGUAAUCCACAAGUAAGUUCCAGAGUCUUGUUUUGUCUGAGCUGCCCGACAUAGAAACCCUCAAGUAUAGCUCACCAUAAGGAUGCUUAUGCAAUUUUGGUAUCCUUGGCCUAUCAUUCCAUAAAAUAUCCACCUUCUCUAUCUCCAUUAAUCCUUUUAAAACUGUUUCAAGAAGGAAUGGAAUCAUCAGGUCUUGAAUUGUGUCCAAUUGCACAGAUGAAUUCCUGGACUUUUCAAUUAUAGUAACAGUUAUACACAACAUAUCUUCCUUUUCCCUUUGAUUGUCAGCCACAGAACAGUCCUUGCAUGUUAUUUGCACAUUCGGCAGAUUGUUUUCUGAAUUACACCGAUUAUAAAGGGUAUCUAUAAUAGAUUGCACCUUUAGACGUCUCUUCUUCAUAAUUUCCUUGUGUACAUGAAAAUGACAAACCCAAGGACUGAAACGUGUCUUGAUCUCAUUCUUCUCACUCUGCGGAGAGAACAUUAUCCUUGAAAUAGAAACAAUAUCUGAAAACAGUAUUCUCUCCAAAUAGUCCUGAACUUCCAAUGCAGCAUACUCAAAACCAUGUCUCUGCCUUCCAAGUUUCUCAGAUAAAAAUAGUGACACGGAUUUGUGAGCAUUACUCUUUUUCAGACCACAUUCCAGCACAUUCUUAAGAUUUAGUAGAGGUGAUUUUUCAAGUAGACUGAUUGGUUGAUCCAAAGCACUGUAAGCAGCUUCAGAGAUGGCACAAGCAGCCAAUGAACCCACAGGUUGGCCACCUAUCCCAUCACAAUUAUCAAAGAUAUGGCCAGGGCUAAAGCUUGGUGCAGACAUGUCUGUGUCAUUAUUAUAGGAGAACUGAACAAGUUGAUUCCCAUAAGCAUUUCUCACUGUUCCAUCAUAUGCAGCAUGAAUAUCACGCAUGAAGAACAUAAGUCUUCGAGUUAAAGUCCCAGGAAGAUCAGCAUUGUCACUGAAAGAGCUAUCUCUACUUGUUACUGAAUGUACAAAACAUUCUAGGGGAUUCAAGCCUGUUAAAAAAGAACCUUCAACGACAGCAGAUGGGAUAAAACACUUGGCACAUUCAGUAGCAUUGUCAUCCUUUUGUUUAUUCCAAGCAACACAAGAGAGUUGGUGAGGCAUUCUAAAGGGCAAUGGAACAAGUGAAUGUUGCAAACCUAGACACAUACUAUGUUGGACUAAUUUCAGUAGAUUACCCUUGCUUCCUGCUUUAAACAUGGCCAUCAAUGCAUUGUCUUUACUUGCAUAUUUGUAGGCUAAACUUUGAAUAUCACGAAACACAUGCUUGAAAGCAUCAACAGAAGCCUGACUGAGUGCAGCAGAUCUCUGCUUAUCAUAACACAAGCGCUCUACAUCAAAAUCCAUGGCAUACUGAUCAUCUUCACCAUUUCCAGCAAGGAAAUCUUGACAAGAAUCCACCAUGAACUGUUUUACAUUACAUGUGUGAACUGCAUCUUGAAUUCCGCAAAAAACUUCAGACAUCAUGUUAUUCCAUGAGUUUGAGUCAGGACAGAGGUACAAAUCAGAGAGUGAGACACUUAAGCCCCUCAUCGACAACCACUCACAAAGAACUUCCUGAGCAGUAUGCAAAAAGUCAAGAACUUGACUCUGGCAAUGUUUGACGAGGCUUUGGAAAAGAUUACCAUCAGUGUCACGUAGCCAAAAGGAUCCUUCAGAAGAAAUAAGCUCCCCAUCACGAAUGCAAACAUUAUUUGAAGGAAAAUCAUGAUCCAAACCUCUAGGUAGGAGCAUGCUAAUUAGUUGCUUUCCAGUCCAAACACAGCCAUUAGGUAAAGGAGCUUUUAUUAUAGCUGGAGACAACUGAUGAGGACAAAACAUUUGCAGCUGUUGCAUUUGGAAUAGGCUUAUGAAAACUCCAUCUUCCAUGACCAAAUGAGCAGCAACUAAACUAUCUUGACUGAGCGAGAGGAGAUUCCUGCCACUCUGUGCGUUAGUUAACUGCUUAUCUAAAGCAACAAGCUCAGAGAGCUCAACUCUGGUGUCAACUGAUUGAGGAACGUAGCCAUGUAGGCAAUCACCAUCAAAAUCUCCACGAAAUGGGGAGCAACAGAGCGGAUUGAUCGCAAGAACUGAGGUCACUGGAAGGACUUUAACAGAGAGAGCAAUAAGUGAGUGUUGAUGUAUUGAUGGAGGCCUAUUGAUCAAAACAAUAUCUCCAUCAUUUAGAGGCCUGUAAAUGAUGUCCCCAGUACGGAGUUCCUUCGUACGACGGAUACGAACAAGAUUACCUUCCCUGCGAACAUGCAUAUCGCCCUUCUCAAGAAUGCGUAUUUCACAACAAGUAUUCAACUUCUCCCAAUUCCAAGCUGUCAGAUGUUCUGAAAUUUGCAACCUUUCUGCAAUAUGACAGGGUAUACCAACUUCACUCAGCUUAAUAUUAGGAUCACCAACCACCACCAUUCGGAAUGAAUUAUCAUUCCGUUUACCGAGAACAACAUCUUUAAUCCAUCUCAAACCAGAUGGAUUGGAGGCAGAAUCAUUUAUCUUCCUUUGCAUGGCAAUGACAUCAUCAUUAUUUACUGAAUUGUCUGGGUUUAUCUGCAAAAUUGAAGAGUAAUGAUAAGAAUGAAAUCUUGACAUACUUACAAUUAUUGACUCCAAGUCUCCAACACAAAUAGGGGAAAGGAAAAAGCCACUUAUCUUGCCUUAGAAGUUUUCAGGCAGUCAAGAACACGGAAGCUCAAUUCUUUAGCUAUCCCUCUGAAAUCAACAAGUUUUUUGUAAGCCCUAGUCCGUUCAUCAAAAGACAAUCGCUGGCCACUAGAAAAUGCAUGCGUAACUUCUGUCACACGAUGACAAUUUGGUGUUACAGAGAAACAGUUAAGGAAAAUUGAAUCUGUCCUUUUAACAAACUUUCUUAUGAAAUUUGCAUCGACAUCUUUCAACAGAUGACGAACCUGUGCAUGUGAUAGAACUCUUUGGUUUGGUCUCACAAUGUUUUCUUCUUCUUGUUCAUCUUUUGGAAUAAUAUCCCAAUAGUCAGCAGCCAACCUUUUCUUCAGUCCUUUCUUUUGGGACUUUUGUGGUGGUCUUUCAACAAUUUUCGCUAUAAUUACAUUUUUCCUGAAGAUUUCUUCUGAAGAAACAGAGAACCUCAUUGUUGGGUACCAACCAAUUGAAUUUGCAACACAGUAUUUGCAACCCUUAACCAGAUUUUGUCUAGAUUUUGAAUUAGUCCGCUUGGUUUCUUUCCUAAUAGAUUUACAUCCUGGGCAAACUUUGUUCAAAAUCUGGACAACUUCAGACAGGUAAUAAGGAUGCAGUAUUGUGAAAGGAAAUUUAAUAACCCCAAAAUGACCUUCACAGGAUUUUAAAUCUUUGGAUCCACAAGUAGAGCAUUGAGAAGAUGGAUUUGGUAGUCCCAACUUCGGAUCAUUGACCUGACUUACUGCAUCAAUAGCUAGAACUGAAAGCUUUUCCUUUUCUGUCUCAGUUGAAACACCAAAUGUUAUGGCUGUUAGUAGAGCAGAUGGCAAUUGCUGCUCCUCAGAUAAAUCAGUCUCCAUUCCACUAGGUGAUUUUUAAGCUUAUUUGGAAUUAAUCAGCACCGUUAAUGGAAAGAGAAUGUGCUUUUCCCCGGUAAAAGGAGCUGUCUCUGUUGUUGUGAACAGAGGAGAGUGAAAGGACUGGAUGAUUGUGUAUGGAGCUGAGAAUAUAGAAGAAUGAGAUGGACCAGGAGUGGCACAACAGUAAUAAAGAGCGUAAUAAGGGGCAUAACAGCUAAAUCAUCGGGCCCGCAACGCCGC